AAACGACUCUCGGCAACGGAUAUCCCGGCUCUCGCAUCGAUGAAGAACGUAGCGAAAUGCGAUACUUGGUGUGAAUUGCAGAAUCCCGUGAACCAUUGAGUCUUUGAACGCAAGUUGCGCCCGAAGCCUCUAGGCUGAGGGCACGUCUGCCUGGGUGUCACGC
This 163-nucleotide ribosomal RNA is filed under the name Chaerophyllum reflexum var. occidentale. Its description in RNAcentral is "5.8S ribosomal RNA". It matches the Rfam family "5.8S ribosomal RNA". From Rfam's summary of the family: 5.8S ribosomal RNA (5.8S rRNA) is a component of the large subunit of the eukaryotic ribosome. The record is from RNAcentral. Lineage: Eukaryota; Viridiplantae; Streptophyta; Magnoliopsida; Apiales; Apiaceae.